AACAAGGUCAGUGGGAAGAGACAAUGGAG
RNAcentral lists this non-coding RNA (29 nucleotides) under Macaca fascicularis (crab-eating macaque). The record is from RNAcentral. Lineage: Eukaryota; Metazoa; Chordata; Mammalia; Primates; Cercopithecidae. RNAcentral also lists the same sequence under 1 other name.